ACUCCUACGGGAGGCAGCAGUGGGGAAUUUUGGACAAUGGGCGAAAGCCUGAUCCAGCAAUGCCGCGUGAGUGAAGAAGGCCUUCGGGUUGUAAAGCUCUUUUGUCAGGGAAGAAACGGUGAGAGCUAAUAUCUUUUGCUAAUGACGGUACCUGAAGAAUAAGCACCGGCUAACUACGUGCCAGCAGCCGCGGUAAUACGUAGGGUGCAAGCGUUAAUCGGAAUUACUGGGCGUAAAGCGUGCGCAGGCGGUUUUGUAAGUCUGAUGUGAAAUCCCCGGGCUCAACCUGGGAAUUGCAUUGGAGACUGCAAGGCUAGAAUCUGGCAGAGGGGGGUAGAAUUCCACGUGUAGCAGUGAAAUGCGUAGAUAUGUGGAGGAACACCGAUGGCGAAGGCAGCCCCCUGGGUCAAGAUUGACGCUCAUGCACGAAAGCGUGGGGAGCAAACAGGAUUAGAUACCCGUGUAGUCCCAUG
This 473-nucleotide ribosomal RNA is filed under the name uncultured organism. RNAcentral's name for it is "partial 16S ribosomal RNA". It matches the Rfam family "Bacterial small subunit ribosomal RNA", at positions 335 to 799 of the family's 1533-position model. The record is from RNAcentral.